UACAGAGGUCCCAAGCGUUGUUCGGAUUCAUUGGGCGUACAGGGUGCGUAGGCGGCGCGGUAAGUCGGGUGUGAAAUCUCGGAGCUUAACUCCGAAACUGCAUUCGAUACUGCCGUGCUUGAGGACUGGAGAGGAGACUGGAAUUUACGGUGUAGCGGUGAAAUGCGUAGAUAUCGUAAGGAAGACCAGUGGCGAAGGCGGGUCUCUGGACAGUUCCUGACGCUGAGGCACGAAGGCCAGGGGAGCAAACGGG
Molecule: ribosomal RNA, 253 nt
Filed under: uncultured bacterium
Lineage: Bacteria
Description: partial 16S ribosomal RNA
Rfam family: Bacterial small subunit ribosomal RNA
Source: RNAcentral